RNAcentral lists this ribosomal RNA (445 nucleotides) under uncultured bacterium. RNAcentral's name for it is "bacterial SSU rRNA". It matches the Rfam family "Bacterial small subunit ribosomal RNA", at positions 28 to 490 of the family's 1533-position model. The record is from RNAcentral.
GACGAACGCUGGCGGCGUGCUUAACACAUGCAAGUCGAGCGGUAAGGCCCUUUCGGGGGUACACGAGCGGCGAACGGGUGAGUAACACGUGGGUGACCUGCCCUCAGCUCUGGGAUAAGCCUGGGAAACUGGGUCUAAUACCGGAUAUGACUCCAUGACGCAUGUUGUGGGGUGGAAAGCCUUGUGCGGCUGAGGAUGGGCCCGCGGCCUAUCAGCUUGUUGGUGGGGUGAGGCCUACCAAGGCGACGACGGGUAGCCGGCCUGAGAGGGCGACCGGCCACACUGGGACUGAGACACGGCCCAGACUCCUACGGGAGGCAGCAGUGGGGAAUCUUGCGCAAUGGGCGAAAGCCUGACGCAGCGACGCCGCGUGAGGGAUGACGGCCUGGUGUAACUCUUCUACGCUCCGACGAACGACGAGAGUGACGGUAGGAGCGAGAAGAAG